CGGGCGCGGCGCCGGUCUAAGUUCCUUGGAACGGGGCGUCAUAGAGGGUGAGAAUCCCGUAUGUGACCGGCGACCAAGCCCAUGUGAAACUCCUUCGACGAGUCGAGUUGUUUGGGAAUGCAGCUCAAAAUGGGUGGUAAAUUUCAUCUAAAGCUAAAUACUGGCCAGAGACCGAUAGCGCACAAGUAGAGUGAUCGAAAGAUGAAAAGCACUUUGGAAAGAGAGUCAAAAAGUACGUGAAAUUGUUGAAAGGGAAGCGCUUGCAACCAGACCUGCCCGCGGGCGACCAACCGUCCCUUCCGGGGCGGUGCACGCGCCCGCGAACAGGCCAGCAUCGGUUCGGGCGGCCGGAUAAAGGCCUUGGGAACGUAGCUCCUCUCGGGGAGUGUUAUAGCCCUUGGCGCAAUGCGGCCAGCCUGGACCGAGGACCGCGCUUCGGCUAGGAUGCUGGCGUAAUGGUUGUAAGCGGCCCGUCUUGAAACACGGACCAAGGAGUCUAACAUCUAUGCGAGUGUUUGGGUGUCAAACCCAUACGCGUAAUGAAAGUGAACGGAGGUAGGAACCCUUAAGGGCGCACUAUCGACCGAUCCUGAUGUCUUCGGAUGGAUUUGAGUACGAGCAUAGCUGUUGGGACCCGAAAGAUGGUGAACUAUGCCUGAAUAGGGUGAAGCCAGAGGAAACUCUGGUGGAGGCUCGCAGCGGUUCUGACGUGCAAAUCGAUCGUCAAAUUUGGGUAUAGGGGCGAAAGACUAAUCGAACCAUC
Molecule: ribosomal RNA, 763 nt
Filed under: Opeltia flavorubescens
Lineage: Eukaryota; Fungi; Ascomycota; Lecanoromycetes; Teloschistales; Teloschistaceae
Description: LSU rRNA
Rfam family: Eukaryotic large subunit ribosomal RNA
Source: RNAcentral